UGACAGUGAAAUUGAAUGGUUCUGCCAUAGGUUCUGCUGUCUCCAGCCAUAACAGACCACAGCCACGCUUGACCGUUGAGUCUUGUGCAGCUUAGCUGCAUGCAGCUUGCACUUGGUGUUGUUGCCACAGCAACCACUGAAGAUAAAUCUGUGCAGGUCUUGAUGCUACGGUGCUCGCGCUACCGCAUUGAAGGGGAGAUAGCAGUCCAACACGGGUUGAUGGGACCUCAAGAUCCACAGUGACUCACCGACAGGGCGCGACACUAGAUAACAAGGGAAGAAGAAAUGUGAUGGCGACAAGCCUCGGUUACCUUGGACUUUGACGUGAACACACUGGGAAGACUGUCAUACGAGCAGUGACCGUGCUGCUGUACCAGUGUCCUGAGAAUACCAAUACGGGCAAUUACCACUACCCCUCUCUAGCUUGAUCGUUCGACAACCACUCACGCAAGAUUUCCUGACGGAUAUAAUCCAAUUCAUCACUCCAUAUUUUGGAUAUUCCGACCGAAACAAUAGUGGCACAGACAAAUUUGAAAAUGGUUCCAGCUCCCUGUCCACUUGUAUAAUACCAGCACUAAAACAAACAUUUCCGAGUGACCACUUGGAUUUGGAUGUAGGGCUUUCCACUGGAACAUUCGAGACAAGCCAACCUGUGCAACGCCCACGGCCUGAUGAAUGGUUUUCUAAUUACACAGCUCAACCUGCAUCAGAUUGCUGUUGUUUGUGUGCAUACGGCUCACCAGAAUGGGCUUUAGUUAUUGUGACGAUCACUAAACUGUAUUGUUAAAAAAGAAUACGACCCUCUCAUGUUCUACUAUGGCAAUGACUGCACAGACACUGUUAACCUUAUCGUGGUAGAAUACCUAUCUGCUCGACCUAUGGGCAACGGACUAUGAAAACCCAUAGUUUUAAGGAUGUAUUCAGACAUACAGCACAGUCUCCAUGUAUACUGUUGAAGUUCCUAGUUGCCUUUGUAAGGCAUGUCUGUCUGUGACCCUGCAGUAACUUAUCGUUGUAAUUUGAACUUGUCUGUGUUAUUGCAAUUGGAAUGGGCAAACCGCCUAACGCCUAAACUGUUACUAGAUAUUUCAAUAAAGACUCAAGAGAC
Long non-coding RNA from Oncorhynchus gorbuscha (pink salmon), 1108 nucleotides. RefSeq lists it as uncharacterized. The record is from RefSeq and is a predicted model, not a curated record. NCBI's taxonomy places the organism in Eukaryota, Metazoa, Chordata, Actinopteri, Salmoniformes, Salmonidae. The transcript is spliced from 3 exons.